RNAcentral lists this ribosomal RNA (422 nucleotides) under Laparocerus alluaudi aytamis. RNAcentral describes it as "partial 16S ribosomal RNA". Lineage: Eukaryota; Metazoa; Arthropoda; Insecta; Coleoptera; Curculionidae. The record is from RNAcentral.
GGUAUUUUGACCGUGCAAAGGUAGCAUAAUCAUUAGUUUUUUAAUUGAAAGCUGGAAUGAAAGGUUGGAUGAAAAAUAAGCUGUCUCUAUUUAAUUUUAUUAGAAUUUUAUUUUUAAGUUAAAAAGCUUAAAUUUAAAUAGAAGACGAGAAGACCCUAUAGAGUUUAAUUUAUUUUUAAAAUAAGAUUAUUGGUAUUUAUUAUUUUUAUUAUAGUAAUGAAUUUAGUUGGGGUGAUUGAAAAAUUUAAUAAACUUUUUUUACAUAUGAACAUUAAUUUAUGAUUUGUUGAUCCUUUUUUUAAGAUUAAAAGAUAAAAUUACCUUAGGGAUAACAGCGUAAUUUUUUUUAAGAGUUCAAAUCGAAAGAAAAGAUUGCGACCUCGAUGUUGGAUUAAAAUAAAAUUUUGGUGUAGAAGCUAAAA